CUUGCACUCUCUGAGAGUGGCGGACGGGUGAGUAACACGUAGGUGAUCUACCUCUGGAUAGGGGAUAGCCCAUGGAAACAUGGGGUAAUACCGCAUAAAGCCUAUUUUUUAGAAAGGAUAGGUUAAAGGCGCAAUUGUGCUGUCUGCAGAUGAGCCUGCGGUCCAUUAGCUAGUUGGCAGGGUAAAGGCCUACCAAGGCGAUGAUGGCUAGCCGGCCUGAGAGGGUGUACGGUCACACUGGGACUGAGACACGGCCCAGAUCCUACGGGAGGCAGCAGCUAAGAAUCUUCCGCAAUGGGCGAAAGCCUGACGGAGCGACGCCGCGUGGACGAUGAAGGUCGAGAGAUUGUAAAGUUCUUUUCUUGGUGAAGAAUAAGGGGGAAAGUGGAACGUUCCCCUGAUGACGUUAGCCGAGGAAUAAGCCCCGGCCAAUUACGUGCCAGCAGCCACGGUAACACGUAUGGGGCAAGCGUUGUUCGGAAUUAUUGGGCGUAAAGGGCGUGUAGGCGGUUUUAUGAGCUGGUGUAAAAGGUCUUGGCUCAACCAAGAUUUGGCGCUGAGAACUGUGAGACUAGAGUUCAGGAGGGAAGCUGAAUUCAGGUGUAGGGUGAAAUCUGUAGAUAUCUGGAGACACGGUGCGAGGCGAGCUACAGCCAUGGACUGACGCUGAGGCGCGAAAGCGUGGGGAGCGAACAGGAUUAGAUACCCUGGUAGUCCACGCUGUAAACGAUGUGCACUAGGCGUUGGGUGUGAAGACAUUCAGUGCCGUAGCUAACGCGGUAAGUGCACCGCCUGGGGAGUAUGCCCGCAAGGGUGAAACUCAAAGGAAUUGACGGGGGCCCGCACAAGCGGUGGAGCAUGUGGUUUAAUUCGAUGAUACGCGAGAAACCUUACCAGGGCUUGACAUGUACCCGAAUGUCUAAGAGAUUAGGCAGCCUCUUUGAGGCGGGUACACAGGUGCU
Molecule: ribosomal RNA, 962 nt
Filed under: uncultured bacterium
Lineage: Bacteria
Description: bacterial SSU rRNA
Rfam family: Bacterial small subunit ribosomal RNA
Source: RNAcentral